RNAcentral lists this unclassified non-coding RNA (444 nucleotides) under Hevea brasiliensis (rubber tree). The record is from RNAcentral. Lineage: Eukaryota; Viridiplantae; Streptophyta; Magnoliopsida; Malpighiales; Euphorbiaceae.
UCGGCGGUCGCUACAGCGUCCGGCAUUCUCUCGAUGGUCGCUACUUUAUUCACGUUACUCUCCUGUGAUUAGGCUUCCGGGGUUGCGUCUAGUCUCUUGGCAAACUCAUGCAUUCGUUCGUUGGCUAGCAUUGGGCUUGCGCCGGCCAACCGUUCAGCUUGGUAGAAAUUGUACAGUGCGGACGCUCGCUCCAUUGCGAGCCUCAACGCGCUGGAUGGAUCACUCAGUGCGGGAGAGGAAUGUUCCUCGCAUUGAUCGCUUUCUGCGGUCCUUGACUGCAUUGCACUCUCCCUUGUGCGGUUACGCUUCAGAAACUGGAAUGAUCUCGACACGCGCGCCGGUGACAUUCUUUGACCAGCCAAGCGCAAUCGCGCGGACAAUCGUGUUGUCGUCGGCCUCGAUAACCUUGUGCUCAACGAGCAAGUCCGUUGCGGCCUUCUCAAG